This 422-nucleotide ribosomal RNA is filed under the name uncultured prokaryote. RNAcentral's name for it is "bacterial SSU rRNA". It matches the Rfam family "Bacterial small subunit ribosomal RNA", at positions 355 to 774 of the family's 1533-position model. The record is from RNAcentral.
UGAGGAAUAUUGGUCAAUGGGCGCAAGCCUGAACCAGCCAUCCCGCGUGCAGGAAGACGGCCCUAUGGGUUGUAAACUGCUUUUCCAGGGGGUGAAACUCCCGUACGAGUACGGGACUGACGGUACCUUGGGAAUAAGCAUCGGCUAACUCCGUGCCAGCAGCCGCGGUAAUACGGAGGAUGCGAGCGUUAUCCGGAUUUAUUGGGUUUAAAGGGUGCGUAGGCGGAUUAACAAGUCAGUGGUGAAAUCCUGCAGCUUAACUGUGGAACUGCCAUUGAUACUGUUAGUCUUGAGUAUGGUCAAGGUAGGCGGAAUGUGUAAUGUAGCGGUGAAAUGCUUAGAUAUUACACAGAACACCGAUUGCGAAGGCAGCUUACUAAGCUACAACUGACACUGAAGCACGAAAGCGUGGGGAUCAAACA